This 502-nucleotide ribosomal RNA is filed under the name uncultured bacterium. RNAcentral describes it as "partial 16S ribosomal RNA". It matches the Rfam family "Bacterial small subunit ribosomal RNA", at positions 899 to 1397 of the family's 1533-position model. The record is from RNAcentral.
ACUCAAAGGAAUUGACGGGGGCCCGCACAAGCGGUGGAGCAUGUGGUUCAAUUCGAAGCAACGCGAAGAACCUUACCAGCCCUUGACAUGGGGAGUAUGGAUCUGAGAGAUCGGAUCCUUCAGUUCGGCUGGCUCCCACACAGGUGCUGCAUGGCUGUCGUCAGCUCGUGUCGUGAGAUGUUGGGUUAAGUCCCGCAACGAGCGCAACCCUCGCCUCUAGUUACCAUCGGGUAAAGCCGGGGACUCUAGAGGAACUGCCGGUGACAAGCCGGAGGAAGGUGGGGAUGACGUCAAGUCCUCAUGGCCCUUACGGGCUGGGCUACACACGUGCUACAAUGGCGGUGACAGUGGGCGGCGAUGGGGCGACCCGGAGCCAAUCUCAAAAAGCCGUCUCAGUUCAGAUUGCACUCUGCAACUCGGGUGCAUGAAGCCGGAAUCGCUAGUAAUCGCAGAUCAGCACGCUGCGGUGAAUACGUUCCCGGGCCUUGUACACACCGCCCGU